AUUGAACGCUGGCGGAAUGCUUUACACAUGCAAGUCGAACGGCAGCACGGGGGCAACCCUGGUGGCGAGUGGCGAACGGGUGAGUAAUACAUCGGAACGUGCCCAGUCGUGGGGGAUAACGUAGCGAAAGCUACGCUAAUACCGCAUACGAUCUCUGGAUGAAAGCGGGGGACCGCAAGGCCUCGCGCGAUUGGAGCGGCCGAUGGCAGAUUAGGUAGUUGGUGGGGUAAAGGCUCACCAAGCCGACGAUCUGUAGCUGGUCUGAGAGGACGACCAGCCACACUGGGACUGAGACACGGCCCAGACUCCUACGGGAGGCAGCAGUGGGGAAUUUUGGACAAUGGGCGAAAGCCUGAUCCAGCCAUUCCGCGUGCAGGAUGAAGGCCCUCGGGUUGUAAACUGCUUUUGUACGGAACGAAACGGUCCGUGGUUAAUACCUGGGGCUAAUGACGGUACCGUAAGAAUAAGCACCGGCUAACUACGUGCCAG
This 489-nucleotide ribosomal RNA is filed under the name uncultured bacterium. RNAcentral's name for it is "bacterial SSU rRNA". It matches the Rfam family "Bacterial small subunit ribosomal RNA", at positions 29 to 511 of the family's 1533-position model. The record is from RNAcentral.